Molecule: ribosomal RNA, 2573 nt
Filed under: Clostridioides difficile
Lineage: Bacteria; Bacillati; Bacillota; Clostridia; Peptostreptococcales; Peptostreptococcaceae
Description: bacterial LSU rRNA
Rfam family: Bacterial large subunit ribosomal RNA
Source: RNAcentral
AGGGUGCAGGGCGGAUGCCUUGGCACUAGGAGCCGAUGAAGGACGUGAUAAGCUGCGAUAAGCUUCGGGGAGUUGCACGUAAACUUUGAUCCGAAGAUUUCCGAAUGAGGAAACUCACUUAGAGUAAUGUCUAAGUAUCAUUAAGUGAAUACAUAGCUUAAUGAGGGGAACUCAGGGAACUGAAACAUCUAAGUACCUGAAGGAAGAGAAAGAAAUUCGAUUCCGUAAGUAGCGGCGAGCGAACGCGGAUUAGCCCAAACCAAUAAAGUUUUCUUUAUUGGGGUUGCGGACAUAUCAUAACGAAGAGGUAUCGUAAUUGAAGAGGUUUGGAAAGACCCACCACAGAAGGUAAUAGUCCUGUAUGUUAAACGAGAAGACUUCAGAUAUGAUCCAGAGUACCACGGGACACGUGAAACCCUGUGGGAAGCAGGAGGGACCACCCUCCAAGGCUAAAUACUACCUAGUGACCGAUAGCGUAUAGUACCGUGAGGGAAAGGUGAAAAGAACCCCGGGAGGGGAGUGAAAUAGAACCUGAAACCCUGCACUUACAAGCUGUGGAAGCACAUUUCUUGUGUGACCGCGUACUUUUUGUAGAACGGGCCAACGAGUUACGUUAAGUAGCAAGGUUAAGCACUUAAGGUGCGGAGCCGUAGCGAAAGCGAGUUUUAACUGAGCGUUCAGUUACUUGACGUAGACCCGAAACCGGGCGACCUACCCAUGAGCAGGAUGAAGCGAAAGUAAAAUUUCGUGGAGGUCCGAACCCACGAGCGUUGAAAAGCUCGGGGAUGACUUGUGGGUAGCGGUGAAAUUCCAAUCGAGCCCGGAGAUAGCUGGUUCUCCCCGAAAUAGCUUUAGGGCUAGCCUCAAGGUGAGAGAUACGGAGGUAGAGCACUGAAUGUCCUAGGGGGUAUUGCACCUACCGAAGACUAUCAAACUCCGAAUGCCGUCAUCUUAUACUUGGGAGUCAGACUGUGGGUGAUAAGAUUCAUAGUCGAAAGGGCAACAGCCCAGAUCGUCAGCUAAGGUCCCUAAAUGUAAGUUAAGUGGUAAAGGAUGUGGGAUUGCACAGACAACCAGGAUGUUGGCUUAGAAGCAGCCACUCAUUCAAAGAGUGCGUAAUAGCUCACUGGUCGAGUGAUCCUGCGCCGAAGAUUUCCGGGGCUAAAACUUACUACCGAAGCUACGGCAUCAGUAAUGAUGGGUAGGGGAGCUUCCCAUACGGGUUGAAGCAUGACCGUAAGGACAUGUGGACAGUAUGGGAGUGAGAAUGUUGGCAUGAGUAGCGAGAUGUGGGUGAGAAUCCCACAGGCCGUAAACCCAAGGUUUCCAGGGGAAGGUUCGUCCGCCCUGGGUUAGUCGGGACCUAAGCUGAGGCCGAAAGGCGUAGGUGAUGGACAACAGGUUGAUAUUCCUGUACUACCGAUAACCGUUUGAGAGAAGGGAUGACACAGUAGGAUAAGCUAAGCACACUGUUGGUUAUGUGUGCCCAAGCAUUGAGGCAGUCAAAGUAGGCAAAUCCGCUUUGAUAAUGCUGGGAUGUGAUGGGGAGCGAAAUUUAGUAGCGAAGUAGCUGAUUUCACACUGUCAAGAAAAGUCUCUAUCGAGGUUAAAGGUACCCGUACCGCAAACCGACACAGGUGGGUGAGGAGAGUAUCCUAAGGCCAGCGAGAGAACUGUUGUUAAGGAACUCGGCAAAAUGACCCCGUAACUUAGGGAUAAGGGGUGCCACCAUCAGGUGGCCGCAGAGAAUAGGCCCAAGCGACUGUUUACCAAAAACAUAGGUUUCUGCUAAGUCGCAAGACGAUGUAUAGGAGCUGACGCCUGCCCGGUGCUGGAAGGUUAAGGGGAUCUGUUAGAGCAAUCGAAGCAGUGAACUUAAGCCCCAGUAAACGGCGGCCGUAACUAUAACGGUCCUAAGGUAGCGAAAUUCCUUGUCGGGUAAGUUCCGACCCGCACGAAAGGCGUAACGAUUUGGGCACUGUCUCAACAACAGACUCGGUGAAAUUGUAAUUCCGGUGAAGAUGCCGGAUACCUGCGACAGGACGGAAAGACCCCAUGGAGCUUUACUGUAGCUUGACAUUGGGUCUUGGUACUACAUGUACAGGAUAGGUGGGAGGCUUUGAAACCAGGACGCCAGUUUUGGCGGAGCCAUCCUUGGGAUACCACCCUUGUAGUACUGGGACUCUAACCAUAGGCCAUGAAUCUGGUCUUGGGACACUGUCAGGCGGGCAGUUUGACUGGGGCGGUCGCCUCCCAAAAGGUAACGGAGGCGCUCAAAGGUUCUCUCAGUACGGUCGGAAAUCGUACGUAGAGUGUAAAGGCAAAAGAGAGCUUGAUUGCAAGACAUACAGGUCGAGCAAGGAUGAAAAUCGGACUUAGUGAUCCGGUGGUUCUGCGUGGAAGGGCCAUCGCUCAACGGAUAAAAGCUACCCUGGGGAUAACAGGCUUAUCUCCCCCAAGAGUCCACAUCGACGGGGAGGUUUGGCACCUCGAUGUCGGCUCAUCACAUCCUGGGGCUGUAGUAGGUCCCAAGGGUUGGGCUGUUCGCCCAUUAAAGUGGUACGCGAGCUGGG